ACGAUGAAGAGUUUGAUCCUGGCUCAGGAUGAACGCUAGCGGCAGGCCUAACACAUGCAAGUCGAGGGGCAGCACGUCUUCGGAUGGUGGCGACCGGCGCACGGGUGCGUAACGCGUAUACAAUCUACCUAUCACUGAGGAAUAGCCCGAAGAAAUUUGGAUUAACGCCUCAUGGUACCAGCUAAUCGCAUGAUUUACUGGUUAAAGGUUACGGUGAUAGAUGAGUAUGCGUCCUAUUAGCUAGAUGGAGAGGUAACGGCUCCCCAUGGCUACGAUAGGUAGGGGUCCUGAGAGGGAGAUCCCCCACACUGGUACUGAGACACGGACCAGACUCCUACGGGAGGCAGCAGUGAGGAAUAUUGGACAAUGGGCGAGAGCCUGAUCCAGCCAUGCCGCGUGCAGGAAGACGGCCCUAUGGGUUGUAAACUGCUUUUGUACGGGAAGAAACCCCUCUACGUGUAGAGGGCUGACGGUACCGUAAGAAUAAGCACCGGCUAACUCCGUGCCAGCAGCCGCGGUAAUACGGAGGGUGCAAGCGUUAUCCGGAAUCAUUGGGUUUAAAGGGUCCGUAGGCGGGUGUUUAAGUCAGUGGUGAAAUGCAGGGGCUCAACUCCGGCACUGCCAUUGAUACUGAACAUCUUGAAUUAUUGUGAAGUGGCUAGAAUAUGUAGUGUAGCGGUGAAAUGCUUAGAUAUUACAUAGAAUACCGAUUGCGAAGGCAGGUCACUAACAAUACAUUGACGCUGAGGGACGAAAGCGUGGGUAGCGAACAGGAUUAGAUACCCUGGUAGUCCACGCCGUAAACGAUGGUUACUAGCUGUCCGGUACGAUUGAGUACUGGGUGGCCAAGCGAAAGUGAUAAGUAACCCACCUGGGGAGUACGUUCGCAAGAAUGAAACUCAAAGGAAUUGACGGGGCCCGCACAAGCGGUGGAGCAUGUGGUUUAAUUCGAUGAUACGCGAGGAACCUUACCAGGGCUUAAAUGCAGACUGACAGGCUUGGAAACAGGCUUUUCUUCGGACAGUUUGCAAGGUGCUGCAUGGUUGUCGUCAGCUCGUGCCGUGAGGUGUCAGGUUAAGUCCUAUAACGAGCGCAACCCCUAUUGCUAGUUGCCAGCGAGUCAUGUCGGGGACUCUAGCGAGACUGCCGGUGCAAACCGUGAGGAAGGUGGGGAUGACGUCAAAUCAUCACGGCCCUUACGUCCUGGGCCACACACGUGCUACAAUGGUAGGGACAGAGAGCAGCCACCUCGUGAGAGGGAGCGAAUCUAUAAACCCUAUCACAGUUCGGAUCGUAGUCUGCAACUCGACUACGUGAAGCUGGAAUCGCUAGUAAUCGCAUAUCAGCCAUGAUGCGGUGAAUACGUUCCCGGGCCUUGUACACACCGCCCGUCAAGCCAUGGAAGCUGGGGGUACCUGAAGUCGGUGACCGCAAGGAGCUGCCUAGGGUAAAACCGGUAACUGGGGCUAAGUCGUAACAAGGUAGCCGUACCGGAAGGUGCGGCUGGAACACCUCCUUUCU
RNAcentral lists this ribosomal RNA (1521 nucleotides) under Nonlabens agnitus. RNAcentral describes it as "bacterial SSU rRNA". It matches the Rfam family "Bacterial small subunit ribosomal RNA". Lineage: Bacteria; Pseudomonadati; Bacteroidota; Flavobacteriia; Flavobacteriales; Flavobacteriaceae. The record is from RNAcentral.